Molecule: ribosomal RNA, 460 nt
Filed under: uncultured Thermotogae bacterium
Lineage: Bacteria; Thermotogati; Thermotogota; Thermotogae
Description: bacterial SSU rRNA
Rfam family: Bacterial small subunit ribosomal RNA
Source: RNAcentral
CCUACGGGUGGCUGCAGUGGGGAAUCUUGGACAAUGGGCGAAAGCCUGAUCCAGCGACGCCGCGUGGAGGAAGAAGUCCUUCGGGAUGUAAACUUCUGACCUAGCCGAAUAAAAGGCCUGUGGACACACAGGAGAAGAAAGUAGGCUAGGAAAAGUCCCGGCUAACUACGUGCCAGCAGCCGCGGUAAGACGUAGGGGGCAAGCGUUACCCGGAAUUACUGGGCGUAAAGGGGGCGUAGGCGGUAAAAGAAGUCAUCUGUGAAAACCUAUUGCUCAACGAUAGGCUAGCGGAUGAAACUGAAUUACUUGAGGGCACCAGAGGUAGACGGAAUUACCCGAGUAGGGGUGAAAUCCGCAGAUACGGGUAGGAACGCCGGUGGCGAAGGCGGCUUUCUGGCCUUGGACUGACGCUGAGGUACGAAAGCGUGGGGAGCAAACAGGAUUAGAUACCCGAGUAGUC